UACUUCAACUGCAUCUUCUUCACUUUACUUUUGGGUUUUGAUUUUCAGCUUAGCUAAUCUAUGAUUCUUUUCAUGAUGUAGGCUACGAUGAGAAUCGGCAGAAUUUGAUUCGGAGAAUCGAUUUCGUGUGGGCUAUGGAGAAGGACGAGAAUAAGAAGCAGAAGAAAAUCUUGAAAGGGAACGCCGCAACGCAGUGGCAAUGGCAGAGCAUGGUGAAGUACUUGCAGCGAAGGAACCGAUGAAAUUGGCGUUUGGGUUUCGAAUCGAAUCCAACUAUAGAGCAUGCACCAUCCCCUACAGAUUCCCCUCCAACAGUCUCCGCAAGCCCACGCCCAGUGAGCUCUCCUGGAUCGACCUUUUCUACAACUCCACCCCCUCAUUCAACAAACGAGCUCAAUCCGACGCUUCGGUUCCCGCUCCGGCCAGAGCUGAAAAAUUUGCUCAAAGGUUUUAUUAAUUAUUUGAGAGAAGUUUCUUAUGCGUCUCAGUUCUUAGCUUGCUGUGGGACAUGGGUGGGUUUGCUUGCUGCCAUUGGUGCACUGUCUGGAGCUUGAUUCAAUGGUUUGAAGUUAGAGAGACCAAGAACUGGGCACCCUCUACAAGCUACAGUACUACUCUUGCUGAGGUCUAUUUCAGUUCCUCUCUACUCUCUCAAUCUUCAUAACUUGCAUUUUUUAUGUCUAUCAAUCUGUCUAUCUUCACAUUCACAUUUAUAUAUUAGCAUCGACUUAAACCACUUACUACUUGAUUAUAAGGCUAUUUCCUUUAGCACUUAUUUGUGGUAAUGAUCCAUGUGGUUUCACCAAUGAACUCACAUCCGAUGGCAAGAGGACUCAAUAGAGCUCAAUACAUAACUCAAAAUCCAUUCUACAAACACAUCAUUUUUACCCUAUUGAACAUAAGGAUGUAAAUAGAUUUGGAUACAAAUGUAAGUAGAUUUUAAUGCAUUCCGCAUGUUAAACACGGUUUCAAAGCCUGCAGCAUUGCGCGGGCUGAAUUGGUAGUAUAUACUAAAACUCAGUUGGGUUUCAGCACUGUUCAUUAAUAGUGUCAGGACGGAUUUUCCCCUCCCCUUCUUCACAACUUUUAGCAUUCUUUUAGAUCUUGCAGUAAAUUGCCGAUUUUGCCCAUGGUAGACGCGUGUUGGUAAGGGAAGGAGGUUGAAUUUAUGCGUGUUAGUCAACUGGGAAAGGAAGAUAGGUGGAAAAGCAGAGCUCUUCCAUUUGCUUCCACAGAUUUCUCGAGCUCUCUCUCAAGCCCAGAACCCUAGCCUCCGCAAGCGAAUCAAGUACAAAGAAUGGUGUGGACUCUGAAGGAAGCUUGUUUUGUUUUGGAAGAUUUUAAAUUGUUUUAUGAUGCCAAGUUUGGUAGAAAGAAAACGCCGGAGCUGCAGUAUAACGGGUUGUCCACUGAUGGAGCUGUGAGUAAUGGGAGUAGUAAUUCCCGCGUGACAGCACAUGGGAAUAUGUGAAGAGAAAACUGACUUGGUCAUCUAUAAGCAAUUUCAAAACUAGGGGAUGAAUUCUAGGAUGGAGGUGGAAGGUUUUGGAUGAAUCAGAUGUGCCUAUUCAUUUGUGAGGUGAUUGUUUUACAGCUUAAAAUACCGUGCGAAUUUAUUUCACUAACAUUGCAUUGGUUUUUUAAUUUGAUAUGUUGUUUUGGUGUGAAAAUCGAAGAACUUUUAAAUGUUUGCGAAUUUGGUUGACACUUAAGUGCAAUUCAUUUUGGUCAAGGCUUUGGUUUGUGGCCAGUUGGAAUUCAUUUUGCUAAAAUAAGAUAAAUCUCUUUUUGCAGCCUGCACUUGCCUUUCAAUUAGAGAACUGUACGAGGAUAAAUCU
RNA transcript from Pyrus x bretschneideri (Chinese white pear), 1838 nucleotides. RefSeq lists it as uncharacterized. The record is from RefSeq and is a predicted model, not a curated record. Lineage: Eukaryota; Viridiplantae; Streptophyta; Magnoliopsida; Rosales; Rosaceae. The transcript has 6 exons.